GGGUUGUAAACCCCUGUCAGGUGGGACGAACCNCGGAUCGNGUAAUACCCGGUCCGNCUGACGGUACCACCAGAGGAAGCUCCGGCUAACUCCGUGCCAGCAGCCGCGGUAAUACGGAGGGAGCNAGCGUUGUUCGGAAUUACUGGGCGUAAAGGGCGCGUAGGCGGUCGGGUAAGUCGGGUGUGAAAUUCCGGGGCUCAACCCCGAGAACUGCAUCCGAUACUGCUCGACUUGAGAGAGGUAGGGGCGAGUGNAAUUCCCGGUGUAGCGGUGGAAUGCGUANAUAUCGGGAAGAACACCGGUGGCGAAGGCGGCUCGCUGGACCUUUUCUGACGCUGAAGCGCGAAAGCGUGGGGAGCAAACAGGAUUAGAUACCCUGGUAGUCCACGCCGUAAACGAUGGGUACUAGGUGUUGGGAGGAUUGACCCUUUCAGUGCCGACGCUAACGCAUUAAGUACCCCGCCUGG
Molecule: ribosomal RNA, 467 nt
Filed under: uncultured bacterium
Lineage: Bacteria
Description: bacterial SSU rRNA
Rfam family: Bacterial small subunit ribosomal RNA
Source: RNAcentral